This 439-nucleotide ribosomal RNA is filed under the name uncultured bacterium. RNAcentral's name for it is "partial 16S ribosomal RNA". It matches the Rfam family "Bacterial small subunit ribosomal RNA", at positions 339 to 795 of the family's 1533-position model. The record is from RNAcentral.
CUACGGGUGGCAGCAGUGAGGAAUAUUGCACAAUGGGGGGAACCCUGAUGCAGCAACGCCGCGUGGAGGAUGACGCAUUUCGGUGUGUAAACUCCUUUUAUAUGUCAAGAAAAUGACGGUAGCAUAUGAAUAAGCACCGGCUAACUCCGUGCCAGCAGCCGCGGUAAUACGGAGGGUGCAAGCGUUACUCGGAAUCACUGGGCGUAAAGGACGCGUAGGCGGGCUUGUAAGUCAGGUGUGAAAUCCUACAGCUUAACUGUAGAACUGCACUUGAAACUACGAGCCUAGAGUAUGGGAGGGGCAGAUGGAAUUAGUGGUGUAGGGGUAAAAUCCGUAGAUAUCACUAGGAAUACCUAAAGCGAAGGCGAUCUGCUGGAACAUAACUGACGCUAAGGCGUGAAAGCGUGGGGAGCAAACAGGAUUAGAUACCCCCGUAGUC